RNAcentral lists this long non-coding RNA (293 nucleotides) under Brachypodium distachyon (stiff brome). RNAcentral's name for it is "long non-coding RNA (BDIS_LNC004134)". Lineage: Eukaryota; Viridiplantae; Streptophyta; Magnoliopsida; Poales; Poaceae. The record is from RNAcentral.
AUAUUCACUGGCCAACUAACCAGUGUGACGCGUUAUAUUCAUACACUGAUACGUCAAUAGUAACAUUUUUGUGAAUAUAUACAUGUCUUCUAAGUUGAGGAAUUUUUCCUCGGUAGGAAGGAAGUGAGUAAGUGACUGCAUAUAUGCUUACUGCCUGUGAAAAGAAAGAAAAGAAAACCCCCUUACACUUACUGUCAGUCGAGCACAAACAAACUGCAAAACACACAUCAUCGAUCUGCUCUCUUACUUGACAGAAAAAGGAAGAAAAAGAAAAAACUCUGUACUUACUGUUG